Molecule: ribosomal RNA, 490 nt
Filed under: uncultured bacterium
Lineage: Bacteria
Description: partial 16S ribosomal RNA
Rfam family: Bacterial small subunit ribosomal RNA
Source: RNAcentral
AUUGAACGCUGGCGGCAGGCCUAACACAUGCAAGUCGAACGGUAACAGGGAUCAGCUUGCUGAUUCGCUGACGAGUGGCGGACGGGUGAGUAAUGUCUGGGAAACUGCCUGAUGGAGGGGGAUAACUACUGGAAACGGUAGCUAAUACCGCAUAACGUCGCAAGACCAAAGAGGGGGACCUUCGGGCCUCUUGCCAUCGGAUGUGCCCAGAUGGGAUUAGCUAGUAGGUGGGGUAACGGCUCACCUAGGCGACGAUCCCUAGCUGGUCUGAGAGGAUGACCAGCCACACUGGAACUGAGACACGGUCCAGACUCCUACGGGAGGCAGCAGUGGGGAAUAUUGCACAAUGGGCGCAAGCCUGAUGCAGCCAUGCCGCGUGUAUGAAGAAGGCCUUCGGGUUGUAAAGUACUUUCAGCGGGGAGGAAGGGAGUAAAGUUAAUACCUUUGCUCAUUGACGUUACCCGCAGAAGAGGCACCGGCUAACUCCGUG